Molecule: long non-coding RNA, 1850 nt
Organism: Lotus japonicus
Lineage: Eukaryota; Viridiplantae; Streptophyta; Magnoliopsida; Fabales; Fabaceae
Exons: 4
Source: RefSeq, a predicted model, not a curated record
UCUUCUUCCAUGACCUAAUCGCCUGCAUCGAUCAUGUUUCUGCUGAAGGAGUACAGUGUGCUGCAGUCGUUUUGCUCUCCAAUUUUUGUACUUUUGAUGAUCUCACCUUCUGCGUUGGAGAAGUUUUGGUGGAAGGUGAAGACUGUGGGCAUUGGUUUGAUUUCGACAGAGAUCGUCACAUUUAGCAGGCUCUCUCACUGUAUAUUCUCUGAUGUGUGGGAGCAGUUGGUGUCAAUUGUAGUUGUUGAAGUUUCAAUGAAGAAGAAUGUUAGUUUCUUUGAUUAGGGUUGUACAGUGUUGUGAUUGAUGCAAGAUUUCGUGUGAUUUUAAUUUUUGUUGUUGAAUUGUUGAAUCCAUGCUGUUUUACUUGAUCAAAAUGAGAAGGGUGACAUUUUUUGUUGAAGUAGAACUUUGAUUUGAUUUGUUACUCUCUUUUGUCAGUAGAAGAGAAGAAUUAGAAGCAAUGUUUGUCAGGUCACCGUUUUGAUGUCAGCUUAGUACAAGAGGUUUGGUUUUGGCAGUGUUCCAGCAAUUUACUUGCUGGCAUCCUUCAGUUUAAUUAAUUUGAAAUUGAAAUUUGUAAUGACCUACCUGUCUCACUUUGUAUCUGUCUAUAAAUACCGGUGUAUUGUGGUCUCUUUGUUGCUCUUGCUCAUAUCCUGGUUUGAUUUUGAUAUUGCUAUUGCUUCAUUGCUACCUAUCUUCAUAUCUGAUAUCUGAUAUUUGUCUUGUGCCUUAAUCUCAAUCAUGGCCUUUACUGCUGGUCCGUUCAACCCUCUGAGUUGCUUAUUGCCUGGAAAAGACACAUGGAAAAUUAAGGUUCGUGUUCUUCGUCAGUUGGUUUGACACAGACACUUACGAUUAUCCUCCACAUCUUGAUGCUCACUUGAUUUUUUACUAGGAAGUCAGCUGUGCACGUGUUUCACUGCUCUGUUGUAUGAGAAGUUUAAAUCAAUUGCAGAAUUACUUUUCGUUCCAGUCCAAGCUUUUUGAUUUAGGGUGCCAUCUGCUCUCCUUUAAUGACAAGGUGACAAUGAGAAGGAGUAGAAUAGAUUGUUGAAGGAGAUUGGGGAAGUGCUCACUGUUUGUUGUCAGGAGUAGAGCAAAAUCAGAAGCUAAAGACGUCAUUUUCUUCGUCAGCUGAAGCUUUCCCUAAUGUCAGAAUAUGAGUGAAGAAGAAAUAGGCGAAGAGAGAUUGUCCACAAAAAUGGAUGUCUUUCCAAUCGUGAAAGGAGCAGAUGGAGGAUUGGAAGAAACAGCAAAGUAAAAAACUUUCUAAUUUGCAGGUUUUGGAGCAUCAUGUAGGGUUGAUUUUGAGAGAGAAGCUUGGAAAUUUGGUGUACCAGACACGAAUCCUUAGGGACUGCAAUGGGAAGGUGUGGUUUCUUCCCUUUUUUUAUUUUUUUUCCUCAUGCUAUGCACUUAAAUUUCAAUGUUUCUCUACUAUUGCAUAUCUUAUUUGGGAAAGUAUAAACAAAAUUCUUUUUAGAAUAAGAGGAACUUUGUUGAAUAUACUCUUUCAAGAGUUGCUUCUUUUUGCUCUCUUAGUGAGUUUCAUUCACAGCCUCUCCUUUCAGCAGCUGUGCAGCAGUCCUAGACUCCACCUCAUUAUGCAGAGUUGCAGUAGUUCUGCUUUGGUAAGGUAUAGUUCCUUUGAGGUGUUAUUGUUUGAAGGUAAAUUAGAAAAUAAGCUGAGUUCUUUUAUCCUUAAUUAUUAAUUCUUAUUAUCAAUUUGUCGGAAUUUGUAACUUGCUAUGGAACAAGAGAUGCAAAUAUAAAUGUAGAAUUCAUUAGUUUGGUAACAAAUGUUGAGUAAAGCAUAUAAAUUGGUCCUGAAAGUGAGCACUUAC